Molecule: ribosomal RNA, 497 nt
Filed under: uncultured bacterium
Lineage: Bacteria
Description: partial 16S ribosomal RNA
Rfam family: Bacterial small subunit ribosomal RNA
Source: RNAcentral
GAUGAACGCUGGCGGCGUGCCUAAUACAUGCAAGUCGAGCGAACAGACGAGGAGCUUGCUCCUCUGACGUUAGCGGCGGACGGGUGAGUAACACGUGGAUAACCUACCUAUAAGACUGGGAUAACUUCGGGAAACCGGAGCUAAUACCGGAUAAUAUAUUGAACCGCAUGGUUCAAUAGUGAAAGACGGUUUUGCUGUCACUUAUAGAUGGAUCCGCGCCGCAUUAGCUAGUUGGUAAGGUAACGGCUUACCAAGGCAACGAUGCGUAGCCGACCUGAGGGGGUGAUCGGCCACACUGGAACUGAGACACGGUACAGACUCCUACGGGAGGCAGCAGUAGGGAAUCUUACGCAAUGGGCGAAAGCCUGACGGAGCAACGCCGCGUGAGUGAUGAAGGUCUUCGGAUCGUAAAACUCUGUUAUUAGGGAAGAACAAAUGUGUAAGUAACUAUGCACGUCUUGACGGUACCGAAUCAGAAAGCCACGGCUAACUACGUG